This 405-nucleotide ribosomal RNA is filed under the name Amazophrynella bokermanni. RNAcentral's name for it is "partial 16S ribosomal RNA". It matches the Rfam family "Archaeal large subunit ribosomal RNA", at positions 1927 to 2497 of the family's 2987-position model. Lineage: Eukaryota; Metazoa; Chordata; Amphibia; Anura; Bufonidae. The record is from RNAcentral.
CUUGAACAUUAUAAGAGGUCUAGCCUGCCCAGUGAAAUAAUUCAACGGCCGCGGUAUCCUAACCGUGCGAAGGUAGCGUAAUCACUUGUUCUCCAAAUCAGGACUAGUAUGAACGGCAUUACGAGGGUUAUACUGUCUCCUUUUUCUAAUUAGUGAACUUAAUCUUCCCGUGAAGAAGCGGGAAUAAGCCUAUAAGACGAGAAGACCCUAUGGAGCUUUAAACAAUCUAGCAUUUGCCCACUAUCUUAAUAUUUUCAGAACCACUAGACCCUGCAUAAUGACUAGAAGUUUUAGGUUGGGGUGACCGCGGAGUAAAACUCAUCCUCCACAAUGAAGGAACCUUAAUUCUUAACUAAGAUAUACCUAUCUAUGUAUCAACUUACUGACAUCUAUUGACCCAAUAUA